This 552-nucleotide ribosomal RNA is filed under the name uncultured bacterium. RNAcentral's name for it is "bacterial SSU rRNA". It matches the Rfam family "Bacterial small subunit ribosomal RNA", at positions 214 to 783 of the family's 1533-position model. The record is from RNAcentral.
UGCGCUUCCGGAUGGGCCUGCGGCGGAUUAGCUGGUUGGUGGGGUAACGGCCUACCAAGGCGAUGAUCCGUAGGGGGCGUGAGAGCGUGACCCCCACAUUGGCACUGAGACACGGGCCAAACUCCUACGGGAGGCAGCAGUGAGGAAUAUUGCACAAUGGGCGACAGCCUGAUGCAGCAACGCCGCGUGCGGGACGAAGGCCUUCGGGUCGUAAACCGCUUUUCUGGGGGACGAGACAGGACGGUACCUCAGGAAUAAGUCUCGGCUAACUACGUGCCAGCAGCCGCGGUAAAACGUAGGAGGCGAGCGUUAUCCGGAUUUACUGGGCGUAAAGCGCACGCAGGCGGCGUCGUGAGUCGGACGUGAAAGCUCCUGGCUUAACUGGGAGAGGCCGUUCGAUACUGCGACGCUUGAGGUUGGGAGAGGGGUGCGGAAUUCCCGGUGUAGUGGUGGAAUGCGUAGAUAUCGGGAGGAACACCAGUGGCGAAGGCGGCACCCUGGCCCACACCUGACGCUGAGGUGCGAAAGCGUGGGGAGCAAACAGGAUUAGAU